RNAcentral lists this long non-coding RNA (1395 nucleotides) under Ornithorhynchus anatinus (platypus). RNAcentral's name for it is "lncRNA (ENSOANG00000034704.2)". The record is from RNAcentral. Lineage: Eukaryota; Metazoa; Chordata; Mammalia; Monotremata; Ornithorhynchidae.
CAGUGGGGACGUGGCCUCUGGUCAAAGCAGAUGUUCUCAGCAGUAUCUCCUACUAAGGCAACUGACCACAUUGCAGGGCCCCACCCCCUGGGGGAGUUGGACUCAGGUCCUAGUUGCCAGGCAACAGUUCUGAAUAGCUAGAGGAGCAUGGCGGGGGUUGGCGGGAGGACAGGACUUGUGGGAGUAUGUAGGAGUCCUGGAGGAGAGAUGGGGAGGACCUAGGCUUCAGGUCUCUCCAUCUCCAGCUCUCACCACAACUGGAGCCUCACCUCUGUCGGUGCCUGUGGCAUCACCUCAGCUCUUUCUACCUUCUGGAUGGAAGAAAGCUGCAAUACAAUGUGUCACUCUGCUUGUAAUUUACUACUACAAUUCCAUCUUCUUUUUUGGGUUCUCUGCUCCAAGGAGAGGCAUGCAUAAGAAAGGACAAGAACCAACAGCUGCAACUUUGCAACCCUGGGGGGUGGGGAGGAGACUGAACUAAUCCACCACAGAGCUCAUUCAACAUGGGCCCAUAGGAAUAGGGGUCAGGGCUGGGAGAGAAAUUCAGCUCCUCUUGUGUGAGCUUUGGAGGUACAAAAGGACAAUGAGAAGACACAGACUAAGAUUGCUUUCUAUUUCAAAGGAUACCGAUGACUGUGGGAUUGUGUUGUCCUCACCACCAGCAGCUAGGACAUGAAAUAAUUUGUUGUGCAGAGGCCACUGAGAAGUAAAGUGGCCACUGAUGGCAUUCAAGAAAUGAACACCCCUUUUCUGAUCCUCUCCUGGCCACUAUAAAACUGGACAGAUGACCCCCUUAAGAAGAAGAGGCUAGGCUGUUUUGUCCCUGUCUCUGCCACUGGCCUGCUCCCUGGCUUUAGAUAAAUCCCCUCACCACAGGGACCAUAUCUAAUUCCACCUGUGUAUCCCACCUGAGAAGCAGUAUGGUGGAACUGAUAGAGCACAGGGCUGGGAGUCAGAAGGUCCCAGAUUCUAAUCCUGUCUCUGCCUCUUGUCUGCUGUGUGACCUUGGGUAAGUCACUUCACUUCCUCUGUGCCUCAGUUACCUCAUCUGUAAAAUGUGGAUUGAGACUGUGAGCCCCACAUGGGAGAGGGAGUGUGUCCAACCUGAUUUGCUUGUAUCCACCCCAGUGCUUAGGACAGUGCCCGACACAUAGUAAGCAUUUAACAAAUACCAUAAUUAUUAUUCUGUAGCAGUGCUUAAUACAGUGUUCUGCACACAGUAAACACUUAACAAAUGCUAUCACUACAACUAUUAGUUUCCUGUUUGCUUUUCAGUAAAAGAAGGGGGAUGAGGUCUUGAUAAAAAGUAAAACCAAAAAACACCUUGAUGAUAACAAACCCAAUUUCGUCAUCUGCAGGAGGGAAUGACUUAGUUGGUAUCUGUGUAAGGAUUUC